RNAcentral lists this transfer RNA (88 nucleotides) under Escherichia coli. RNAcentral's name for it is "tRNA-Ser". It matches the Rfam family "tRNA". From Rfam's summary of the family: Transfer RNA (tRNA) molecules are approximately 80 nucleotides in length. Their secondary structure includes four short double-helical elements and three loops (D, anti-codon, and T loops). RNAcentral also lists the same sequence under 3 other names. Lineage: Bacteria; Pseudomonadati; Pseudomonadota; Gammaproteobacteria; Enterobacterales; Enterobacteriaceae. The record is from RNAcentral.
GGAAGUGUGGCCGAGCGGUUGAAGGCACCGGUCUUGAAAACCGGCGACCCAAAAGGGUUCCAGAGUUCGAAUCUCUGCGCUUCCGCCA